This 1809-nucleotide long non-coding RNA is filed under the name Orbicella faveolata. RNAcentral describes it as "uncharacterized LOC110069343". Lineage: Eukaryota; Metazoa; Cnidaria; Anthozoa; Scleractinia; Merulinidae. The record is from RNAcentral.
UUUUUAUCCAUCCGAUUAAUUGGACGGAUAAAAAUAGACGGAUUAUCCAUCUAAAAUGAACACUGUUCUGUUUUCACACUAAGACGGACUAUCCGUGCUGGACAGAUAACCCGUCUUAGAAGGAUUGUCCGUCUCUAGUGUGAAAACAGCCAAUUGUUGAUUUAAACUUAUCCUUCUAAUCAAAUCAUAACAAAUCCCAGAAUGCAGGUCCAGUUUUAGCUCUACAAUAUUAAUAUUAUUAUAUGGCUUGCUCCCUGAGCAGGCAAGAUGGUGUUAUGCUGCUACUCAGGGUUACCAGGGCUGUCAUUGAGGGCCGUAAACCAUAACACCUGCUACAGCUGAGUAUGCUUGAUUUUUCCGUUAUGCUACUUGUGAAAUUGUCUGUUGUUGAUAGAAUUCACCCACAAAGUAAUGAGUUUGCUACGGGUGUGGAGAACAAGGCUGCAGAUGACUUGAAACUUAAUGAUAGCCCUGGUUACAUGCUAUGACCCACAAGAAAAAAUUGUUCUUUAUCCCAUAUGAUAAUAAUUUCCUAUUUUGCCUAAGCGUGUUUGCUCAUUCAAAAUUUCUGAAUAUUGGCCUGGUUUUUUUUCUUUUUUUUUUUUUUUUUCGUGUUUAUGGACCUUGACUCUGUUUUGGUCUAAAAACAUGCAAAAGAAACUUGGCCAAUAUCCAGCCAUCUUUACAUCAUGUCUGGUCAAUAAUCCACGUGCAAUAAUGUGGACUAAGUGGAGCACAAUUCAUGGCGUAAAUACGUGAGUAAUUUCAAAUUUCAAGAUGAAAAAAGUCUGUUAAGAACUUCCUUUGAGAAAAACUCAGUGGUGUUUUUUCCAUAAGCUUUUAACACUAAGAAACAUUACGAAGAAAGUGAAUGGCAUGGCAUUACGGAAUUGCGCCCAUUGAAACACGUUGACUGAACAUUCAAAUUAGCUUCCAAAAACAUUAACAGGGCAUGCGUAACUAGAUGCAGAGAUGGUGAGAGAUGUCAAUCGUUAAAAUCCCAAGUGUAUAUCAGUGUCAAAACCAUUGUUCCUGAAAUUUGCUUGUGAAACCUUGAUCUAUUCAUUGUGUAACAAUAGACGUAAUUUAGUAGGAAGACCAUCUUGAUUUAACCACCAUUGUUAAGAAAUACAUCGCUUAAAUUUAAUAAAUGCAAGAGCUUUGCGAAAACAAGUCCAUAAUAUUAUCAAUUGGACCGAACGAACAAACUUUUCAACUAGUCUAGAGAUAUUGACAAAUGUGCUGAUCAGUUCAAACCCACUGAUCGCCAAAUUAACAAACAACAGAAAGUGAAAACAAAUGCAGACUUAAUAUCCUUUCUUCAAAAGCAUUCAAUACAAAAUACCAGAAAAAAAAACUUACAAUUUGCUUCUUCUUUACGCAUUACUCCUUCUGUGAGAUCCAGUUAUUUACCAGACAGCGUGAUAAAGACACACAGCUCUUGAAGCUACUUGGCAAACAUGACGCCUUUUGGAAACUGUGGGGUUUAUCGCAGAUCUGACACAAACUCGCAGAGCCUCAGUUAUUAAAAUGCUUUAUUCUCUGUUGUUUCUGUUAAUUCUUAAAAGCAAAACGUUUUAUUGUUUGUUUGGAGAAUGCAGACUAGUUGUGUCGAUCAACUGUGAUGCCAUAUGCUUUCAGGGUUUGGAUAGACUGGCCCAGAUGGCCUCGAUGUGAUAAUUGUUCUCAGCCGAGGACUGGUAUUUACACGUUUAGUGAAAUUACAUGAGAGAAUGAAACCCACCAAUUUGAAAGGAACCCAGGUUUUCAAGACAGGACAUGAUGAUGUCAACAUUGAAACUCUGAUUG